This 496-nucleotide ribosomal RNA is filed under the name uncultured bacterium. RNAcentral describes it as "partial 16S ribosomal RNA". It matches the Rfam family "Bacterial small subunit ribosomal RNA", at positions 28 to 507 of the family's 1533-position model. The record is from RNAcentral.
GAUGAACGCUGGCGGCGUGCCUAAUACAUGCAAGUCGAGCGAACAGACGAGGAGCUUGCUCCUCUGACGUUAGCGGCGGACGGGUGAGUAACACGUGGAUAACCUACCUAUAAGACUGGGAUAACUUCGGGAACCGGAGCUAAUACCGGAUAAUAUAUUGAACCGCAUGGUUCAAUAGUGAAAGACGGUUUUGCUGUCACUUAUAGAUGGAUCCGCGCCGCAUUAGCUAGUUGGUAAGGUAACGGCUUACCAAGGCGACGAUGCGUAGCCGACCUGAGAGGGUGAUCGGCCACACUGGAACUGAGACACGGUCCAGACUCCUACGGGAGGCAGCAGUAGGGAAUCUUCCGCAAUGGGCGAAAGCCUGACGGAGCAACGCCGCGUGAGUGAUGAAGGUCUUCGGAUCGUAAAACUCUGUUAUUAGGGAAGAACAAAUGUGUAAGUAACUAUGCACGUCUUGACGGUACCUAAUCAGAAAGCCACGGCUAACUACGUG